RNAcentral lists this long non-coding RNA (588 nucleotides) under Equus caballus (horse). Its description in RNAcentral is "lncRNA (ENSECAG00000060095.1)". Lineage: Eukaryota; Metazoa; Chordata; Mammalia; Perissodactyla; Equidae. The record is from RNAcentral.
CCACUGAGAGCUGGGGCUCUUUGAUUCCUAACCUUUGAACAGGGUCGGGGGAAAAAGACUUGCUGGAAAGCCUUGAUUCACGCUGUGGUGGUGGUAGUAAGCUCAGGAUCAAAUGGCCGCUUCAUCUUCAAAGACUCCUGAGGCCUCACAGCACUGAAGGGGACAGGGGAUUCUGGUUUCGACUUAACAUAUUAAAUGAAGUUCCAAGAUUUAAUCAAGGAAUGGAGUCUGUCAGGAAAAAGAAAAUCAACUCUGCAGAGAGGAAGCUGCAGCCCAAGAAGCUUCCGCUUCGUGUCUCCUGGAACAUUCUCUGAGAGCUCUGAGUUGCUACAAGAGAAGUCUGACUAGCCACCUGCACAUGCUCGAGGCCAUGUCUAGGUGUCCAGAUGCCAACCCCCACUGAGUCAAGCCUUUCACCAUUCCCAUCAAUAUGCCAAACAGUGAGUGAGCUAUCUGAGACCAGAAUUCCUCUUUACCAUAUGAAUUCCACCAGAAGUAUGACUUCGGUUCACAUCACAUGGAACAGGAAAAACACCAACCUGAGACCUGCCCAAAUUCCUGAUCCACAAAAUCAUGAGAUAAAAAUAA